UCAAGAACGAUGAAGUUGUUCACGUCUACCAUUUUUGUCAUUUUUCUCACACUUCUCACUAUUAUAGUCACGAUGCAAGGACCGAACUCAUCCCUUGCUGCUGCUGCUGUACUCGGUCAUAGAAGAGUGAAAAGAGACGGGAAUAAUUACAAUCCUACUCCAUUUAGGACAACUCCUCGACCAACGCCUACAAAACCACCCAGCCCAAAGCCUUGUUGGGGCUGAGGAGCAGCCUGCUGCAAGAGUGCGAGAGUGUGAUUUUUUAUCCCGGCAGCACCACGGAAUAAAACCUUUACAUCCUAACAAAUCUUGUUGUUCAGCUACACCUUCUGCGAUAUUAUCAAAAAUAAAUAUUCGCUAAUUUACCGUAAGAA
Dermacentor silvarum is the source of this 374-nucleotide long non-coding RNA. RefSeq lists it as uncharacterized. The record is from RefSeq and is a predicted model, not a curated record. The transcript has 2 exons. Lineage: Eukaryota; Metazoa; Arthropoda; Arachnida; Ixodida; Ixodidae.